Non-coding RNA from Emericellopsis atlantica, 85 nucleotides. Lineage: Eukaryota; Fungi; Ascomycota; Sordariomycetes; Hypocreales; Bionectriaceae. The record is from the annotation of a RefSeq genome assembly.
GCGCCAGUAGUUGAAUGGUUACAAUAUUUGCCUUCCACUUCCGAGUGAUCAGCAAAGGGUCCGUGUUCGAUUCACGGCUGGCGCA